GAUGAAGAACGUAGCGAAAUGCGAUAAGUAAUGUGAAUUGCAGAAUUUAGUGAAUCAUCGAAUCUUUGAACGCACAUUGCGCCCGCCAGUAUUCUGGCGGGCAUGCCUGUUCGAGCGUCAUUACGCCCCUCAAGUCCCCUGUGGACUUGGUGUUGGGGAUCGGCGAGGCUGGUUUUCCAGCACAGCCGUCCCUUAAAUUAAUUGGCGGUCUCGCCGUGGCCCUCCUCUGCGCAGUAGUAAAACACUCGCAACAGGAGCCCGGCGCGGUCCACUGCCGUAAAACCCCCCAACUUUUUAUAGUUGACCUCGAAUCAGGUAGGACUACCCGCUGAACUUAAGCAUAUCAAUAAGCGGAGGA
This 358-nucleotide unclassified non-coding RNA is filed under the name soil metagenome. RNAcentral describes it as "partial contains 5.8S ribosomal RNA, internal transcribed spacer 2, and large subunit ribosomal RNA". The stretch from base 1 to 120 matches the Rfam family "5.8S ribosomal RNA", at positions 35 to 154 of the family's 154-position model. The record is from RNAcentral.